This is a non-coding RNA of Xylaria sp. FL0064, 139 nucleotides long. The record is from the annotation of a GenBank genome assembly. NCBI's taxonomy places the organism in Eukaryota, Fungi, Ascomycota, Sordariomycetes, Xylariales, Xylariaceae.
GGUGAGAUGGCCGAGUGGUUAUGGCGCUGCGUUCAGGCGAACCCUGGAUCUUUAGAUAUUGAGGAGCUAUUCUCAUUAUCUUCACAAAAACAAUAUCGCAGUGGAGCAAUCCGCGUGGGUUCGAGUCCCACUCUCAUCA